UAUGCAUUUCAAGCCCUACAAAACCUGAUUCCAGGAGUUGUACCAUUUAUCUGUGGUCAUGAAUUUUGUAAACAAAGCUAAGGAAAAGUCAACAGUGAUUCAGGGCAGAUUCGUGGCUACAUGACUUCCUCCUGGGCUGGCCUGGCUGGACUGAGUGUUGAGUGGGGGUGGGUCAACACUACUCCCUCAGUGGUCCCCUAAAGUAAAAUACAAGUGUUCUCUGUCUCUCCGCUGUCCUUCACAUCCCCUAAAAAGAGAAGUAAAUUAUCAAGGAAGGAAGGAAAAUAAAGAUGACAAAUACUUCAUGGUAGCAGAAUAUCAUGAUUCUGAGCUACCAACAGAAAAUGCAUUGCAUUGGCUUACUCUACGUCAUCAGGGUCACAGUGAUCCUGCAACAUGAUUGAAAUUCCAGGGUAAAAUGUCUGUAGCAGUCAGAAGUGGGAGGAAGAGGGAAGUUAGAAGCAAGAGAAAAAGGGAGGAAGGACAUGUGACAAAGGCAGUGAAUAUGAUUAAUGAGUCCAAUUCUUCCUUAUGUCACCUGUGGCCUCCCUGAGCAUCAAAAAAGAAAUAAUGGGCUGGGAUCCGGUCAUCCACAUUCCUUCUCCCUACCCCACCCCUUCCUCAGCAUUUCCUCAGUAUGUCAGGCUCUGGUCCAAUAGCUCUAUGUGGCAAAAAGGGAGGAAGACAACAGGCAGUCAGAGGCGGGGCUGAGUCCAGUUCCUGGUUCUGGCCAGGGCAGAAUUCAGAUUUUCAGGGCUUCAAGCAAAGAAAAGACUAUGGAGCCACCAUAUUCCCAUACAUAUAUGCUGAAAUUAGGAUAAUUGUUUUUCUGGGUUUUGUGAUUUUGACAUUUUAAAAAAGCCGAUUGGAACUGAACUUCCAACUUUCUCUCUCUCUCUACACUAACACCUUUCUGGCCCUUACUGAUGCUGUGACCUUAGGAGAGUCCCUUAUCACUAUGAGUCUGUUUGCUCAUCUAUAAAGGUGGUGUGUCAUGAUUCUUUAAUCUCCGUGAGUCUAUUAGUGAUCAUUCGGUUUCAUCUUCUAAAGCAAAACAAUUUUAAAUACCCCUGCUCUGGCUUGUACAUUCUACUGACAUGUACAGAGUUGAGAAUUCUAGUCCAGAUUAGUGAGGACAUCCUAUGUAUGUGGUGAUACAUCUGAUUUUACUUAUUCUACAAAUGUUCACUGAAUACCUACCAGGUAACAGCUGCUGAGUGUACGGUGAUGAAUGAAGCAGAAAUUCUCCUCGCCUUGCCCAGUAGAAUACUUCAGUGGAGCUUGCAGUCUAUUAACUGUAAUGGUGGAGCCUGAGAUCAGCCCAGGUGUCUGAUUCUAGAAGCUACCCUCUUAGUCACAAUCUAAGAUGGUGGUGAAGAGCCUGACUCUGCAGUUAGGCAGCCUGGGUUCAAAUCUCAGUUGUGUCACUUCCUUCCUUAGUGACCCUGAGCAACUUUCUUAACCUCUCUGUACUGAUAUUUUCUUGUUUUUUAAAACCAAGCUAAAAAUGGCAAAUCCAAAUGCCCAAAGUAGAUGUCCUGACAUACUCAGGUUAGAGGCACAACUCUUCUGCCAGAACUUGUGCUACGGCUUGCUAUGCAAGGGACAAUGGUGAGUUUGCUCCACAAUGCAUGCCUAGCGUUUGGCCAAAGAGGGAAGAAUGAUUCUCUCCCCAUUGUGUGUCUUAAUUUGGCAUCUAGGUUAAGCAGUUCUAUCCUGAUGUCCUAUUGAGAUUUUAGAGAAAAAACCCUUUUCAGUUUUAACUCAAGGGCCAUUUUAACUUUACCAUCUUCUCCCCAGAUUUGUAAAAAUAUCCUUGGUGACUUAAGAGAUCCUUGGGGGCUACUGGAGACCCAGCAGGUCGUGGUCGAGGGUGAUCCAGAUUUUUCCUGUCCUCUCAUCCUUCUCUUUGAGCUUCCCAACAUCUGCUUUUCCCUCAAAAUAAUUAAUCCACUUCACAAAAAGAUAUUACCAAGAAAUGUCGAUUUACAUAAGAUUUUAUGGAAACAAAAGACAAGACAGUUAACAACCCAUAUCCCACAGAUGACCACUUGAAAAUUCCUGUUGGACGUUUCACCAUUUCUCUUCUCCAGACUCCUCUUUCCUGCCACGUUACUACCAGUGGUCUCCCUCUUUCCCUUCAAGGGUGCCCUGCUUCAUUGCUCCUCUCCUCCUGUUCCCAAAGGCCAGCCUCCUUAGAAGGCAGUGGGGGUUACAAACACCAAAAAAAAUUUCAAGUAGACAAGUAACAGAUGCUUCCCCAUAUUCAAAAAACCCACCAGCCCAUCAUCCUCAAAGCUUUAAAACUGGGAAAACCUUGUCUACCUGUUCCCUUAGGAUCCAUCCUUCACUAAGACACUCUUGGCAUUUCGUGUAAUUAGUCUCCAGUGAGGCCAGUCCUCUUCCCACCAAAUGUUACCUGAACACUAGUGGCGAGCAAGCUAUGCCCUGGUUGAAAUAAAGAUGCUGGGUAACAUGUUCCAUUUUCUUCCAUCUUAUCUCUUCAAAGCAGCCUUGCAACACAAAGCUGUGCCAAGAGCAUUUAAUUUUCACCACUGUCCUUCAGGCUUCCAGCCUUCUCUGAACGUGCCUUCCCACCUCCCACCCCGAACAAAACUGUCUGCUUUCUACAUGUUUUCCACAGUACCCCUACUUGCUUCUACCUAACAUUCAACAUCUUGUAAUUUCUUAUUUGCUAAUCCAUUUCCCCUAGUAGACUGUCUAUGAAAGGAGGCAUGUAGUUCUUAACCCAACUGGAAUUUUAGUAUACAUUUGUUGAAUUAACAGAUGAAGGAAAAGCAUACGCUUUACUAUUAACUAUCCUCACUAUAAACUAAUAUAUGUCAUUGCCUUUGCGGCUAACCUCAGAUGUCACAAACCUACAAUGCUAAAUCUGUCAUACUAAGGAUCCUCUGUGCUUUUGUUAAGUUUAUCCAGGCUAUGGUUAACUUCAGAAUUCUCUCCUUUCCAGUGACUGCGAGGGCCUUAUAAAAGAUGCUGCAAUGAAUUUCUUUCUUUAUUUCAUUUGCUUGCUUAUUAUUCUUAUUCCUUCUACAUAAAACGAACAAACAAAACAAAACAAAAGCACAAGCUCUGGUGGCAAAUAGACACGGAUGUGAAACCCAAUUUCACCACUGCUAGCUUUAUGAUCGUGAAAAAUUAGUCUUUUAGUUUCAGUUUCUUACCUAUAAUACUUACAUCCAUAUCAUAGGAUUGUCAAAGAAUUAACUGGUACAUAUCAAGGCCUCCUGGUACAUAGUAGGAUGUUGGUAAAUAUGAAACCUAUUAAAUCUCUUUUUUCUCUUACCCCUUUCUCAUAACUCCCAUUAUUACAGCCUCAAAAUGCUUACCACCUGAUUAUUCAGUACACGAGCUGCUUCUCAUAUUUUCUUUUUAUCUUGGUAUUCUACAGUUUCACAAUGAUAUAGUUAGGUAUAGAUUUGUUCUAUAGAUUUAUUCAUCCUGUUUGGGCUUCUGCAAGCAUCCUGAUUUUGUAGGUUGGUGUCUUUUAUUAGAUCAGCCAUUAUCUUUUUAGAAACUGCUGCUGUCUAUUGUCUCUGUCUUCUGCAACACUGAUUAGAUUUAUGUUAGUGACUCUUCAUACUAGUCUCCAAGUCUCUUAACCUCUCCUUUAUUCUUUCCUUUUCUUUUCUUUUAUUCAUUGAACUUCAUUUUGGAUAGUAUCUUCAGAGCUACUAUAUUCUUUUGUGAGCUGUGUCUAAUCCACUAUUCAAUCCAUACAUGUAUUGUGUGUGUGUGCAUGUGUGUGUGUAUGUAUGUGUGUGUGUGUGUGUGUGUAUGUAUCUAUCUAUCUAUCUAUCUAUCUAUCUAUCUAUAUAUAUAUAUAUAUAUAUAUAUAUAUGCAAUGAGCUGCUCAUUUUGGGAGGGCUCUGUUAAUGAAAACUCUUUAAGACCUGGGGAAAAGAUGGGUUCCAAUAGAAGGGAUUUUCAUUUGUUUCUGUCACGUGUCUUUACAUUAUCAGCCUAAGAUCACUUGAAACUAACUCUUGGCUUAAGAUUUUUCAAGCCACCACAGGUAAUGGUAAUUCUGUCUUCAAAUACAUAUGAAAGUUAGUUUAUGGUUAGACAUUCUCAGGGGAUUUUUUUCUCAACUCUGCUUAUUACUAAGGUUUAAUACAGGCAGUUUUCCUUGAAAUACCUAGAGAGGGGCAAUGUGCACAGGACAUGCAUGUUUAUUGGUAGUUCACCUUGUAUAUCACUAAGGAUAUAGUUCUCUAGUGUCUUUACUUUAUAGAGGGUGUGUAUCUUAUUAAGCUUCCCAUACUAGGCAAGCCCUAGACUUUGUUUUCCAUCCCCAUAAAACUGCAAAGAUAUACAAACUAAAGUUCAAGUUCAUUCUGCGGCAGGAAAUACUCUCAGAAGAUGUAUUCUGAUAUUUGGCUUACCUCUCUAGGUCCCCACCUUCAUUUAAUUUAUAGCCUGCAUGUUCUAGCUCAUGGACACAAUUCAUUUUUUUUCAAUUUGCAUUUUAAGUUGUUUUAGCAAUAGGCUUAGUUUGAGCACCCAAUACACCAGGUUACCCUUUGUAGUUUGUGCAGUCUGAUAUUGGGUCAAGUUGCCGGAUCACCUUGCUUGGUGAUCAGCCUACUACAAAGUCACAGUAUUUAAAUCAUUAUGCUGAGAUGUAUAUGUCAAUGAGGUAGUUGCAUUAUCUUUCUCCACUUUUUUUCUGUAACAUUGCUGUACAUCAUAACGUUGUAAACACUGCUGUAGAAGAAAGAGAAAUAAAGAAGAUAAAGUUAACAAAGAAUCCAAAUUUGGAUCUCUUAAAGGCUGGACUGUUUUCUUUGCCUUUCCCUGAUUAGGACUCUGCUGAGUUGGCCUUCACAUUAGGAAAAUUGAUUAUUUACAAAUGUUUGAACAUUUUCUCACUGACCCCAUGGUUGGGUGUGCCUUUGGGAUAACAAAAGAUGAACAAGCUAAAUAGAUGUAAUUUUAUCCUUCUUUUGAAGGAAAUGUUGAAAGAAAGCA
RNAcentral lists this long non-coding RNA (4992 nucleotides) under Homo sapiens (human). RNAcentral describes it as "HSALNT0321690". Lineage: Eukaryota; Metazoa; Chordata; Mammalia; Primates; Hominidae. The record is from RNAcentral.